AGAUUGAACGCUGGCGGCAGGCCUAACACAUGCAAGUCGAGCGGUAGAGAGGUGCUUGCACCUCUUGAGAGCGGCGGACGGGUGAGUAAUGCCUAGGAAUCUGCCUAGUGGUGGGGGAUAACGUUCGGAAACGGACGCUAAUACCGCAUACGUCCUACGGGAGAAAGCAGGGGACCUUCGGGCCUUGCGCUAUCAGAUGAGCCUAGGUCGGAUUAGCUAGUUGGUGAGGUAAUGGCUCACCAAGGCGACGAUCCGUAACUGGUCUGAGAGGAUGAUCAGUCACACUGGAACUGAGACACGGUCCAGACUCCUACGGGAGCAGCAGGUAGGGGAAUAGUGGACAAGUGGGACGAAAGCCUGGACUCCAGCCAUCGCCGCGUGUAGUGGAAAGUAAGGUCUUACGG
Molecule: ribosomal RNA, 404 nt
Filed under: uncultured soil bacterium
Lineage: Bacteria
Description: bacterial SSU rRNA
Rfam family: Bacterial small subunit ribosomal RNA
Source: RNAcentral